Molecule: non-coding RNA, 226 nt
Organism: Microcebus murinus (gray mouse lemur)
Lineage: Eukaryota; Metazoa; Chordata; Mammalia; Primates; Cheirogaleidae
Source: RefSeq, a predicted model, not a curated record
CGGGCAGGUGACCCGAGGCCGGCGGGGACAGCCGGGCAGGUCUGGAUGGGUCCACGGAACAGCUAUAGCCAUGAGGCGACCAGCGUCCAUGACAAAGCCAGCACUAAAGAUCACCGAGCAGAAAUGGGAAGAACCGGGAUCCUUGGUGACAGAUGGCACUGCUGCAGCCUGCCCUGCCUGAACUUCUUGUCAUGUGCAAUUAUAGAUUUCCUUAUUGUGUAAGCUA